GCCCGCUUAGCUCAGAGGUUAGAGCACCGCAUUUGUAAUGCGGUGGUCAUCGGUUCGAUUCCGAUAUCGGGCU
This 73-nucleotide transfer RNA is filed under the name Crassula perforata. RNAcentral's name for it is "tRNA-Thr". It matches the Rfam family "tRNA". From Rfam's summary of the family: Transfer RNA (tRNA) molecules are approximately 80 nucleotides in length. The record is from RNAcentral. RNAcentral also lists the same sequence under 9 other names. Lineage: Eukaryota; Viridiplantae; Streptophyta; Magnoliopsida; Saxifragales; Crassulaceae.